UACGUAGGGGGCAAGCGUUGUCCGGAAUCAUUGGGCGUAAAGCGCGUGUAGGCGGUCCGAUAAGUCCGCUGUGAAAGUCCAGGGCUCAACCCUGGGAUGCCGGUGGAUACUGUCGGGCUCGAGUCCGGAAGAGGCGAGUGGAAUUCCUGGUGUAGCGGUGAAAUGCGCAGAUAUCAGGAGGAACACCAAUGGCGAAGGCAGCUCGCUGGGACGUGACUGACGCUGAGACGCGAAAGCGUGGGGAGCAAACAGG
RNAcentral lists this ribosomal RNA (253 nucleotides) under uncultured bacterium. RNAcentral describes it as "partial 16S ribosomal RNA". It matches the Rfam family "Bacterial small subunit ribosomal RNA", at positions 524 to 776 of the family's 1533-position model. The record is from RNAcentral.